Molecule: long non-coding RNA, 570 nt
Organism: Pistacia vera
Lineage: Eukaryota; Viridiplantae; Streptophyta; Magnoliopsida; Sapindales; Anacardiaceae
Exons: 3
Source: RefSeq, a predicted model, not a curated record
UUAUUGUCUCUCUGUUGAGUCCCAGAAGGUGGAACUUCCCAACAUGAUAGAGGAGAGUACAAACUUAGCUGAUGUCCUGGAAAGGAAUAGAAACUUAGCAAUGAUCCGCGGUAGAAAUGAGAUGUUACCACUUUACAUGGCCGCUUUGUUUGGCCAUAAAGAGAUGGUACAGUUUCUUUAUGAAGCCACUGAUGACGAGUCAUUAUAUGACAACGACCGCAUUGAAUUGCUUAUCACUCUAAUAAGCAAUGGUUUGUAUGAUGUUGCACUGGAUUUGCUAGAGAAACACCCAGAGUUAGCCGUCGCUUGUGAUGGAAAUGAGGAGACAGCAUUGCUUGCCUUGGCUCGAACGCCUAUUGCCUCUUAAAUUCAGCGAGGAUUUUGGAAACAAUGUGUCAAUUUGUUUUCAGGUAGCAACACCAAGUUGCCUCCUAAAGCACUUGAACUAAUCAAACGCCUUUGGGAACAAGUCAUAUUGUCAGAUGAGACUGCAAUUUCAAAUAUUAUUAAAACUGCCCGACAACUGAUAUUUGUUGCUGCAGAACUAGGAAACAUUGAGCUUCUAAUUAU